Molecule: ribosomal RNA, 389 nt
Filed under: Annelida sp.
Lineage: Eukaryota; Metazoa; Annelida
Description: partial small subunit ribosomal RNA
Rfam family: Eukaryotic small subunit ribosomal RNA
Source: RNAcentral
AUUCCAGCUCCAAUAGCGUAUAUUAAAGUUGUUGCAGUUAAAAAGCUCGUAGUUGGAUCUCGGGCGCAGGCUGGCGGUCCACCUCGCGGUGGCUACUGCCUGUCCUGCCCUACCUGCCGGUUUUCCCCUGGUGCUCUUCACUGAGUGCCUCGGGUGGCCGGAACGUUUACUUUGAAAAAAUUAGAGUGUUCAAAGCAGGCAUUUCGCCUGAAUAAUGGUGCAUGGAAUAAUGGAAUAGGACUUCGGUUCUAUUUUGUUGGUUUUCGGAACUUGAGGUAAUGAUUAAGAGGGACAGACGGGGGCAUUCGUAUUGCGGUGUUAGAGGUGAAAUUCUUGGAUCGCCGCAAGACGAACUACUGCGAAAGCAUUUGCCAAGCAUGUUUUCAUCG